GGGUUGUGAGGUUAAGCGACUAAGCGUACACGGUGGAUGCCCUGGCAGUCAGAGGCGAUGAAGGACGUGCUAAUCUGCGAAAAGCGUCGGUAAGGUGAUAUGAACCGUUACAGCCGGCGAUGUCCGAAUGGGGAAACCCAGUGCAAUUCGUUGCACUAUCGUUAACUGAAUACAUAGGUUAACGAGGCGAACCGGGGGAACUGAAACAUCUAAGUACCCCGAGGAAAAGAAAUCAACCGAGAUUCCCCCAGUAGCGGCGAGCGAACGGGGAGCAGCCCAGAGUCUGAAUCAGCUUGUGUGUUAGUGGAACGGUCUGGAAAGUCCGACGGUACAGGGUGAUAGUCCCGUACACCAAAAUGCACAGGUUGUGAACUCGAAGAGUAGGGCGGGACACGUGGUAUCCUGUCUGAAUAUGGGGGGACCAUCCUCCAAGGCUAAAUACUCCUGACUGACCGAUAGUGAACCAGUACCGUGAGGGAAAGGCGAAAAGAACCCCGGCGAGGGGAGUGAAAAAGAACCUGAAACCGUGUACGUACAAGCAGUGGGAGCACCUUCGGGUGUGACUGCGUACCUUUUGUAUAAUGGGUCAGCGACUUAUAUUCUGUAGCAAGGUUAACCGUAUAGGGGAGCCGCAGGGAAACCGAGUCUUAACUGGGCGUUAAGUUGCAGGGUAUAGACCCGAAACCCGGUGAUCUAGCCAUGGGCAGGUUGAAGGUUGGGUAACACUAACUGGAGGACCGAACCGACUAAUGUUGAAAAAUUAGCGGAUGACUUGUGGCUGGGGGUGAAAGGCCAAUCAAACCGGGAGAUAGCUGGUUCUCCCCGAAAGCUAUUUAGGUAGCGCCUCGUGAAUUCAUCUUCGGGGGUAGAGCACUGUUUCGGCUAGGGGGUCAUCCCGACUUACCAACCCGAUGCAAACUACGAAUACCGAAGAAUGUUAUCACGGGAGACACACGGCGGGUGCUAACGUCCGUCGUGAAGAGGGAAACAACCCAGACCGCCAGCUAAGGUCCCAAAGUCAUGGUUAAGUGGGAAACGAUGUGGGAAGGCACAGACAGCCAGGAUGUUGGCUUAGAAGCAGCCAUCAUUUAAAGAAAGCGUAAUAGCUCACUGGUCGAGUCGGCCUGCGCGGAAGAUGUAACGGGGCUAAACCAUGCACCGAAGCUGCGGCAGCGACACUAUGUGUUGUUGGGUAGGGGAGCGUUCUGUAAGCCUGCGAAGGUGACCUGUGAGGGUUGCUGGAGGUAUCAGAAGUGCGAAUGCUGACAUAAGUAACGAUAAAGCGGGUGAAAAGCCCGCUCGCCGGAAGACCAAGGGUUCCUGUCCAACGUUAAUCGGGGCAGGGUGAGUCGACCCCUAAGGCGAGGCCGAAAGGCGUAGUCGAUGGGAAACAGGUUAAUAUUCCUGUACUUGGUGUUACUGCGAAGGGGGGACGGAGAAGGCUAUGUUAGCCGGGCGACGGUUGUCCCGGUUUAAGCAUGUAGGCUGGUUAUCCAGGCAAAUCCGGAUAAUCAAGGCUGAGGUGUGAUGACGAGGCACUACGGUGCUGAAGUAACAAAUGCCCUGCUUCCAGGAAAAGCCUCUAAGCAUCAGGUAACAUUAAAUCGUACCCCAAACCGACACAGGUGGUCAGGUAGAGAAUACCAAGGCGCUUGAGAGAACUCGGGUGAAGGAACUAGGCAAAAUGGUGCCGUAACUUCGGGAGAAGGCACGCUGGUGUGUAGGUGAAGUCCCUGCGGAUGGAGCUGAGACCAGUCGAAGAUACCAGCUGGCUGCAACUGUUUAUUAAAAACACAGCACUGUGCAAACACGAAAGUGGACGUAUACGGUGUGACGCCUGCCCGGUGCCGGAAGGUUAAUUGAUGGGGUUAUCCGUAAGGAGAAGCUCUUGAUCGAAGCCCCGGUAAACGGCGGCCGUAACUAUAACGGUCCUAAGGUAGCGAAAUUCCUUGUCGGGUAAGUUCCGACCUGCACGAAUGGCGUAAUGAUGGCCAGGCUGUCUCCACCCGAGACUCAGUGAAAUUGAACUCGCUGUGAAGAUGCAGUGUACCCGCGGCAAGACGGAAAGACCCCGUGAACCUUUACUAUAGCUUGACACUGAACAUUGAGCCUUGAUGUGUAGGAUAGGUGGGAGGCUUUGAAGCGUGGACGCCAGUCUGCGUGGAGCCAACCUUGAAAUACCACCCUUUAAUGUUUGAUGUUCUAACGUUGGCCCCUUACCGGGGUUGCGGACAGUGUCUGGUGGGUAGUUUGACUGGGGCGGUCUCCUCCCAAAGCGUAACGGAGGAGCACGAAGGUUAGCUAAUCCUGGUCGGACAUCAGGAGGUUAGUGCAAUGGCAUAAGCUAGCUUGACUGCGAGCGUGACGGCGCGAGCAGGUGCGAAAGCAGGUCAUAGUGAUCCGGUGGUUCUGAAUGGAAGGGCCAUCGCUCAACGGAUAAAAGGUACUCCGGGGAUAACAGGCUGAUACCGCCCAAGAGUUCAUAUCGACGGCGGUGUUUGGCACCUCGAUGUCGGCUCAUCACAUCCUGGGGCUGAAGUAGGUCCCAAGGGUAUGGCUGUUCGCCAUUUAAAGUGGUACGCGAGCUGGGUUUAGAACGUCGUGAGACAGUUCGGUCCCUAUCUGCCGUGGGCGCUGGAGAAUUGAGGGGGGCUGCUCCUAGUACGAGAGGACCGGAGUGGACGCAUCACUGGUGUUCGGGUUGUCAUGCCAAUGGCACUGCCCGGUAGCUAAAUGCGGAAGAGAUAAGUGCUGAAAGCAUCUAAGCACGAAACUUGCCCCGAGAUGAGUUCUCCCUGAGACUUUAAGUCUCCUGAAGGAACGUUAAAGACGAUGACGUUGAUAGGCCGGGUGUGUAAGCGCAGCGAUGCGUUGAGCUAACCGGUACUAAUGAACCGUGAGGCUUAACCUUACAACGCCGAAG
Molecule: ribosomal RNA, 2923 nt
Filed under: Klebsiella pneumoniae
Lineage: Bacteria; Pseudomonadati; Pseudomonadota; Gammaproteobacteria; Enterobacterales; Enterobacteriaceae
Description: bacterial LSU rRNA
Rfam family: Bacterial large subunit ribosomal RNA
Source: RNAcentral